Long non-coding RNA from Ooceraea biroi (clonal raider ant), 294 nucleotides. RefSeq lists it as uncharacterized. The record is from RefSeq and is a predicted model, not a curated record. Lineage: Eukaryota; Metazoa; Arthropoda; Insecta; Hymenoptera; Formicidae.
UUGUAUUAUCUGCGACAUCAGACCAGCCGACGACGACGAGAGACAACGACGCGUCGUUGAAGAAGGGUAGCAGAGUCGAAAUGAGUAACAAGUUCGUGCUACGCUGUUGGAAGUGCACGUAAAUUUACGUUAUAAAGGCAAAAAUAACGACGCGAAGCAAUCUGAUAGAUCGUUGCGGAUAAAAUAGCAGAAUUAUUAAUGAAACCUUCAACGGUCGCAGUUUGCAAAAGAUAAUAUUUAUUCGUUAAUAAAACAUGCACAAACGAAUACGAAAUAAACGUUGACCGACGAAAA